UCAUAGAUGAAUUUCUAUGGAGGAAUUAAAAGGGAAUCGGGUGUAAAUCCCGUACAGUUCCCGCUGCUGUAAAUUCCUACCUCUCUACAUGGGGGUAUGAUACUUUAACUCUCUUUGCCACUGGCUAUAUAAGCUGGGAAGGCGUUAAAGUUGGAAUGAGUCAGAAGACCUGCCUUUGCAUAUU
This 184-nucleotide non-coding RNA is filed under the name fish gut metagenome. The record is from RNAcentral.